AUUGAACGCUGGCGGCAUGCCUUACACAUGCAAGUCGAACGGUAACGGGCCUUCGGGUGCCGACGAGUGGCGAACGGGUGAGUAAUACAUCGGAACGUGCCCGAUCGUGGGGGAUAACGAGGCUAAAGCUUUGCUAAUACCGCAUACGAUCUACGGAUGAAAGCAGGGGACCGCAAGGCCUUGCGCGGGCGGAGCGGCCGAUGGCAGAUUAGGUAGUUGGUGGGAUAAAAGCUUACCAAGCCGACGAUCUGUAGCUGGUCUGAGAGGAUGAUCAGCCACACUGGGACUGAGACACGGCCCAGACUCCUACGGGAGGCAGCAGUGGGGAAUUUUGGACAAUGGGCGCAAGCCUGAUCCAGCCAUGCCGCGUGCAGGAUGAAGGCCUUCGGGUUGUAAACUGCUUUUGUACGGAACGAAAAGCCUUCUUUUAAUACAGGAGGGUCAUGACGGUACCGUAAGAAUAAGCACCGGCUAACUACGUG
RNAcentral lists this ribosomal RNA (482 nucleotides) under uncultured bacterium. RNAcentral's name for it is "partial 16S ribosomal RNA". It matches the Rfam family "Bacterial small subunit ribosomal RNA", at positions 30 to 507 of the family's 1533-position model. The record is from RNAcentral.